This 427-nucleotide ribosomal RNA is filed under the name uncultured bacterium. RNAcentral describes it as "bacterial SSU rRNA". It matches the Rfam family "Bacterial small subunit ribosomal RNA", at positions 355 to 774 of the family's 1533-position model. The record is from RNAcentral.
UGGGGAAUUUUGGACAAUGGGCGCAAGCCUGAUCCAGCCAUGCCGCGUGCAGGAUGAAGGCCUUCGGGUUGUAAACUGCUUUUGUACGGAACGAAAAGGUGCCUUCUAAUAAAGGGCGCUCAUGACGGUACCGUAAGAAUAAGCACCGGCUAACUACGUGCCAGCAGCCGCGGUAAUACGUAGGGUGCGAGCGUUAAUCGGAAUUACUGGGCGUAAAGCGUGCGCAGGCGGUUUUGUAAGACAGAGGUGAGAUCCCCGGGCUCAACCUGGGAACUGCCUUUGUGACUGCAAAGCUGGAGUGCGGCAGAGNGGGAUGGAAUUCCGCGUGUAGCAGUGAAAUGCGUAGAUAUGCGGAGGAACACCGAUGGCGAAGGCAAUCCCCUGGGCCUGCACUGACGCUCAUGCACGAAAGCGUGGGGAGCAAACA